Molecule: ribosomal RNA, 268 nt
Filed under: Schizosaccharomyces japonicus
Lineage: Eukaryota; Fungi; Ascomycota; Schizosaccharomycetes; Schizosaccharomycetales; Schizosaccharomycetaceae
Description: partial 25S ribosomal RNA
Rfam family: Eukaryotic large subunit ribosomal RNA
Source: RNAcentral
GUACACGAUUCUUCGUGUCACCUAUCGAAAGGGAAUCCGGUUAAUAUUCCGGNACCAGGAUGUGGAUUCUCCACGGCAACGUAAAUGAAGUUGGAGACGUCGGUGGNNGCCCUGGGAAGAGUUCUCNNUUCUUUUUAACAAACCAAUCACCCUGAAAUCGGUUUAUCCGGAGCUAGGGNNUAGUGUUUGGUAGAGCUCAGCGCCUCUGCUGGGUCCGGUGCGCUCNNNACGGCCCUUGAAAAUCCAACGGAAGGAAUAGUUUUCACGC